AAGUUUCUACAAGUGUGGAAACCCUGAUCCAGCCAUCCCGCGCGUAUGAUGAAGGCCUUCGGGUUGUAUAGUACUUUUGGCAGAGACGAAAAGUCAUCCCCUAAUACGGGAUGCUGCUGACGGUAUCUGCAGAAAAAGCUCCGGCCAACUACGGGCCAGCAUCCGCGGUAAUACGUAGGUUGCAAGCGUUAAUCGGAAUUACUGGCCGUAAAGCGUGUGUAGGCGGUGCGAAAAGAAAGAAGUCAAUACCCCGGGCUCGAGCUUGGAAAUGCAUUUUUAACUGCCGAGCUAGAGUAUGUCAGAGAGGGGUAAAAUUCCACGUGUAGAAAUGAAAUGCGUAGAUAUGUGGAGGAAUACCGUUGGCGAAGGCAGCCCCCUGAGAUAAUACUGACGCUCAGACACGAAAGCGUGAGGAGCAAACAGG
RNAcentral lists this ribosomal RNA (424 nucleotides) under uncultured bacterium. RNAcentral's name for it is "partial 16S ribosomal RNA". It matches the Rfam family "Bacterial small subunit ribosomal RNA", at positions 359 to 776 of the family's 1533-position model. The record is from RNAcentral.